RNAcentral lists this ribosomal RNA (1346 nucleotides) under uncultured bacterium. Its description in RNAcentral is "partial 16S ribosomal RNA". It matches the Rfam family "Bacterial small subunit ribosomal RNA", at positions 28 to 1381 of the family's 1533-position model. The record is from RNAcentral.
GACGAACGUUGGCGGCGUGCUUAACACAUGCAAGUCGAACGGAAAGGCCCUGCUUUUGUGGGGUGCUCGAGUGGCGAACGGGUGAGUAACACGUGAGUAACCUGCCCUUGACUUUGGGAUAACUUCAGGAAACUGGGGCUAAUACCGGAUAGGAGCUCCUGCUGCAUGGUGGGGGUUGGAAAGUUUCGGCGGUUGGGGAUGGACUCGCGGCUUAUCAGCUUGUUGGUGGGGUAGUGGCUUACCAAGGCUUUGACGGGUAGCCGGCCUGAGAGGGUGACCGGCCACAUUGGGACUGAGAUACGGCCCAGACUCCUACGGGAGGCAGCAGUGGGGAAUAUUGCACAAUGGGCGGAAGCCUGAUGCAGCAACGCCGCGUGCGGGAUGACGGCCUUCGGGUUGUAAACCGCUUUCGCCUGUGACGAAGCGUGAGUGACGGUAAUGGGUAAAGAAGCACCGGCUAACUACGUGCCAGCAGCCGCGGUGAUACGUAGGGUGCGAGCGUUGUCCGGAUUUAUUGGGCGUAAAGGGCUCGUAGGUGGUUGAUCGCGUCGGAAGUGUAAUCUUGGGGCUUAACCCUGAGCGUGCUUUCGAUACGGGUUGACUUGAGGAAGGUAGGGGAGAAUGGAAUUCCUGGUGGAGCGGUGGAAUGCGCAGAUAUCAGGAGGAACACCAGUGGCGAAGGCGGUUCUCUGGGCCUUUCCUGACGCUGAGGAGCGAAAGCGUGGGGAGCGAACGGGCUUAGAUACCCUGGUAGUCCACGCUGUAAACGGUGGGUACUAGGUGUGGGGUCCAUUCCACGGGUUCCGUGCCGUAGCUAACGCUUUAAGUACCCCGCCUGGGGAGUACGGCCGCAAGGCUAAAACUCAAAGGAAUUGACGGGGCCCCGCACAAGCGGCGGAGCAUGCGGAUUAAUUCGAUGCAACGCGUAGAACCUUACCCGGGUUUGACAUGGAUCGGGAGUGCUCAGAGAUGGGUGUGCCUCUUUUGGGGUCGGUUCACAGGUGGUGCAUGCCUGUCGUCAGCUCGUGUCGUGAGAUGUUGGGUUAAGUCCCGCAACGAGCGCAACCCUUGUUCACUGUUGCCAGCACGUUAUGGUGGGGACUCAGUGGAGACCGCCGGGGUCAACUCGGAGGAAGGUGGGGAUGACGUCAAGUCAUCAUGCCCCUUAUGUCCAGGGCUUCACGCAUGCUACAAUGGCUGGUACAGAGAGUGGCGAGCCUGUGAGGGUGAGCGAAUCUCGGAAAGCCGGUCUCAGUUCGGAUUGGGGUCUGCAACUCGACCUCAUGAAGUCGGAGUCGCUAGUAAUCGCAGAUCAGCAACGCUGCGGUGAAUACGUUCCCGGGGCU